Molecule: ribosomal RNA, 1557 nt
Filed under: Staphylococcus aureus
Lineage: Bacteria; Bacillati; Bacillota; Bacilli; Caryophanales; Staphylococcaceae
Description: 16S ribosomal RNA
Rfam family: Bacterial small subunit ribosomal RNA
Source: RNAcentral
UUUUAUGGAGAGUUUGAUCCUGGCUCAGGAUGAACGCUGGCGGCGUGCCUAAUACAUGCAAGUCGAGCGAACGGACGAGAAGCUUGCUUCUCUGAUGUUAGCGGCGGACGGGUGAGUAACACGUGGAUAACCUACCUAUAAGACUGGGAUAACUUCGGGAAACCGGAGCUAAUACCGGAUAAUAUUUUGAACCGCAUGGUUCAAAAGUGAAAGACGGUCUUGCUGUCACUUAUAGAUGGAUCCGCGCUGCAUUAGCUAGUUGGUAAGGUAACGGCUUACCAAGGCAACGAUGCAUAGCCGACCUGAGAGGGUGAUCGGCCACACUGGAACUGAGACACGGUCCAGACUCCUACGGGAGGCAGCAGUAGGGAAUCUUCCGCAAUGGGCGAAAGCCUGACGGAGCAACGCCGCGUGAGUGAUGAAGGUCUUCGGAUCGUAAAACUCUGUUAUUAGGGAAGAACAUAUGUGUAAGUAACUGUGCACAUCUUGACGGUACCUAAUCAGAAAGCCAUGGCUAACUACGUGCCAGCAGCCGCGGUAAUACGUAGGUGGCAAGCGUUAUCCGGAAUUAUUGGGCGUAAAGCGCGCGUAGGCGGUUUUUUAAGUCUGAUGUGAAAGCCCACGGCUCAACCGUGGAGGGUCAUUGGAAACUGGAAAACUUGAGUGCAGAAGAGGAAAGUGGAAUUCCAUGUGUAGCGGUGAAAUGCGCAGAGAUAUGGAGGAACACCAGUGGCGAAGGCGACUUUCUGGUCUGUAACUGACGCUGAUGUGCGAAAGCGUGGGGAUCAAACAGGAUUAGAUACCCUGGUAGUCCACGCCGUAAACGAUGAGUGCUAAGUGUUAGGGGGUUUCCGCCCCUUAGUGCUGCAGCUAACGCAUUAAGCACUCCGCCUGGGGAGUACGACCGCAAGGUUGAAACUCAAAGGAAUUGACGGGGACCCGCACAAGCGGUGGAGCAUGUGGUUUAAUUCGAAGCAACGCGAAGAACCUUACCAAAUCUUGACAUCCUUUGACAACUCUAGAGAUAGAGCUUUCCCCUUCGGGGGACAAAGUGACAGGUGGUGCAUGGUUGUCGUCAGCUCGUGUCGUGAGAUGUUGGGUUAAGUCCCGCAACGAGCGCAACCCUUAAGCUUAGUUGCCAUCAUUAAGUUGGGCACUCUAAGUUGACUGCCGGUGACAAACCGGAGGAAGGUGGGGAUGACGUCAAAUCAUCAUGCCCCUUAUGAUUUGGGCUACACACGUGCUACAAUGGACAAUACAAAGGGCAGCGAAACCGCGAGGUCAAGCAAAUCCCAUAAAGUUGUUCUCAGUUCGGAUUGUAGUCUGCAACUCGACUACAUGAAGCUGGAAUCGCUAGUAAUCGUAGAUCAGCAUGCUACGGUGAAUACGUUCCCGGGUCUUGUACACACCGCCCGUCACACCACGAGAGUUUGUAACACCCGAAGCCGGUGGAGUAACCUUUUAGGAGCUAGCCGUCGAAGGUGGGACAAAUGAUUGGGGUGAAGUCGUAACAAGGUAGCCGUAUCGGAAGGUGCGGCUGGAUCACCUCCUUUCUAA